Molecule: ribosomal RNA, 168 nt
Filed under: Thaleichthys pacificus (eulachon)
Lineage: Eukaryota; Metazoa; Chordata; Actinopteri; Osmeriformes; Osmeridae
Description: partial small subunit ribosomal RNA
Source: RNAcentral
CACCGCGGUUAUACGAGUGGCCCAAGUUGAAAGUUACCGGCGUAAAGAGUGGUUAGGGAAAUAAUAAACUAAAGCCGAACACCCUCUAGGCUGUUAUACGCUUCUGAGGGUACGAAGCCCCACUACGAAAGUGGCUUUAAUACACCUGAACCCACGACAACUAAGAUA